ACUGCUCAGUAACACGUAGUCAAUAUGCCCAGGGGACGUGGAUAACCUCGGGAAACUGAGGAUAAACCGCGAUAGGCCAAGAUUUCUGGAAUGAAUCAUGGUUUAAAUCUAUAUGGCCCCUGGAUUGGACUGCGGCCGAUCAGGCUGUUGGUGAGGUAAUGGCCCACCAAACCUGUAACCGGUACGGGCUCUGAGAGGAGGAGCCCGGAGAUGGGCACUUAGACAAGGGCCCAGGCCCUAUGGGGCGCAGCAGGCGCGAAACCUCUGCAAUAAGCGAAAGCUUGACAGGGUUACUCUGAGUGAUUUCCGCUAAGGAAGUCUUUUGGCACCUCUAAAAAUGGUGCAGAAUAAGGGGUGGGCAAGUCUGGUGUCAGCCGCCGCGGUAAUACCAGCACCCCGAGUGGUCGGGACGAUUAUUGGGCCUAAAGCAUCCGUAGCCGGUCCUGCAAGUCCUCCGUUAAAUCCACCCGCUCAACGGUUGGGCCGCGGGGGAUACUACAGGGCUAGGAGGCGGGAGAGGCAAGCGGUACUCGAUGGGUAGGGGUAAAAUCCACUGAUCCAUUGAAGACCACCAGUGGCGAAGGCGGCUUGCCAGAACGCGCUCGACGGUGAGGGAUGAAAGCUGGGGGAGCAAACCGGAUUAGAUACCCGGGUAGUCCCAGCUGUAAACGAUGCAGACUCGGUGAUGGGCUGGCUUCGUGCCAACCCGGUGCCGCAGGGAAGCCGUUAAGUCUGCCGCCUGGGGAGUACGGUCGCAAGACUGAAACUUAAAGGAAUUGGCGGGGGAGCA
RNAcentral lists this ribosomal RNA (790 nucleotides) under uncultured archaeon. RNAcentral describes it as "bacterial SSU rRNA". It matches the Rfam family "Archaeal small subunit ribosomal RNA", at positions 85 to 878 of the family's 1478-position model. The record is from RNAcentral.